GCUCAGGUAUGUCUUUAUUACCAGUGUUCUUGAGGAUACAAUCAACCAAGGUACACUUUAAAUUAAAGCAGAUAUAUGGAUAAAACAGGAAAAAUACAAGGAUAUUCAAUAUCAACAUUUCCAUUAAGAAUUGUACUGGGGCAUCUGGCCAACAGAAUUCAGAGCCCCAGCCUGUUCAUAAAAAAAAUCAGAUGAAUUUUGUCUGCGGAACAUUCUGCAAAAAUAUCUGACCAGUAAGUAAUCCUCUAAAUAGCCACAGCCAUCAACAGCAAGGAAAGUCUGAGAAAGUGUCACAGCCAAGAGGACCCUAUAAAGACAUGAUGACUAAAUGUAACAUGGUGUCUUCCAUGGGAUCCUGAAACAGAAAAAGGACAUUAGAGCUGGGGAUUGUGGUAUGUGCCUUUAGUCCUAGCUACUCCGGAGGCUGAGGCAGGAGGAUCACCUGAGCCCAGGACUUUGAGGCCGCUGUAAGCUAUGAUCAUGCCACUGCACUCCAGCUCAGGCAACAGUGAGACCCGGUCUCAACAAACAAAAGAAAAUAAAAGAAUGGUAGACAAGGCAAUAGGUAUUUUUAAAAGUGAGAGAAACUAUCAGAGAGCUGUAGCAGAAAAGCAAGUUAAAAAUAAAGGAAACAGAAAAGGAACUGAUACAGCUGAUUUGAUACUGGAAAAAUCACCCAGGAGGCAGCGUGGACAAUGGAUUGGAGAAGG
Molecule: long non-coding RNA, 710 nt
Filed under: Homo sapiens (human)
Lineage: Eukaryota; Metazoa; Chordata; Mammalia; Primates; Hominidae
Description: novel transcript, antisense to CD36
Source: RNAcentral